RNAcentral lists this long non-coding RNA (221 nucleotides) under Mytilus galloprovincialis (Mediterranean mussel). Lineage: Eukaryota; Metazoa; Mollusca; Bivalvia; Mytilida; Mytilidae. The record is from RNAcentral.
UGUGUUUUGGUGAUGGUGAUGUGUUUGUAGAUCUUACUUUACUAAACAUUCUUGCUGCUUACAAUUAUCUCUAUCUAUAACAGUACUUUCUGGGAAAUGUUAUUUAAAAUCUUCAAAUUUUAAGAAAAUUGUUAAAAAUUGACUAUGAAGGGCAAUAACUCCUUAGGGGGUCAAUUGACUAUUUUGGUCAUAGUGACUUAUUUUUAGUUCUUACUUUGCUG